UGACCUCGAAUCAGGUAGGAAUACCCGCUGAACUUAAGCAUAUCAAU
RNAcentral lists this ribosomal RNA (47 nucleotides) under Claviceps cynodontis. RNAcentral describes it as "partial 28S ribosomal RNA". Lineage: Eukaryota; Fungi; Ascomycota; Sordariomycetes; Hypocreales; Clavicipitaceae. The record is from RNAcentral.